This is a long non-coding RNA of Monodelphis domestica (gray short-tailed opossum), 693 nucleotides long. RefSeq lists it as uncharacterized. The record is from RefSeq and is a predicted model, not a curated record. NCBI's taxonomy places the organism in Eukaryota, Metazoa, Chordata, Mammalia, Didelphimorphia, Didelphidae.
GAGGAAUGUUUACUAUUCUCCUGGUCUGUGAGCAACCAGAAACAUUCUUUUCCUUCCUGGAUCUGUGACUAGGGUCCCAGGUCUGCUGUGGCAACAAGUAUUGUUAUGUUAGUGAUCCUCCUCGCCCUGGGAUUGUGACCCAGGAGUGGGACUCAUAUAUGUACACUGUACCCAGUGCCAGCAAAGGGACCACUAUAACCACCCUUUGACUAGUUGUCUGAUCCCCUUAGUAUCUGUGGACUCAGGAAGUCAUUGCUGCUGAUUCAAGUUUCCCCCCAGAUCUUGCUGUUGUGGGAUUACCUCUAGUGCACUGUGUCUUUCCCUGGAGAGGUGGUUCUGGUGACUUCCUGUGAGCAGACCUGGGCACCAGUUCGAUCCUGGAACUUGAGCCUGGAGGAGCUCCCUCAGACAGCUUCCUUAAGACGGUCACAUGACCGGACACAAUUGAAAAAGACCUUUCGACAACAAAAUUUGAAAGAACAAUUUGGAUGAAACAACAAACUAGAAUCUUAUUACAAUGCCACAUUCUGGGAACUAAAGAUCCCAUUGCAAGGCUUUUACUGCAAAGUUAAAGAAAAAACAAAAGAUCCAACAUAUACCAGGAUGUUCAGUGACACUGUUUCUGGUUAGAGACAAACUGGGAGCAAAAUAAACAUCAAUCAGAAAAUGACUAAAUAAAUUAUGGUACGUGAA